Long non-coding RNA from Etheostoma spectabile (orangethroat darter), 91 nucleotides. RefSeq lists it as uncharacterized. The record is from RefSeq and is a predicted model, not a curated record. The transcript is spliced from 3 exons. Lineage: Eukaryota; Metazoa; Chordata; Actinopteri; Perciformes; Percidae.
AUAUUCAUGAAAGUUUGUGAACACAGAUUUUGAUAAUGAACAACUAAACGCUUACACGCUGGACCUUUAAGGAAAAGAAACGCUUUUGCCC